GAAAUUUGCUGUUCCAACUUUAUUGAUGUCAGGUGGGUUCAUAAGCAUUGUUUUUCAUUUUACUUGUAAUUUUUUUCAAAUCAUCAGUUGCUUGUUUAUCUGCACAAUCGAUUUAUACACUUGCACAAACGAACAUUUAAAUAAACAAAAAUAGUUUAUAGAUAGGCAUUUAGAAAAUCCAGUUUCAGUCUGUUCGUGGUGGUUCUGUGUAAUAUUUUCAAUAUUUUUAUGACAAAUACUAUAUUACUGAAAAACAAAAACUUUUGACAAUAACAUUUAGCUUUCAAUUUUGCCUCUUAAAAUUGUGUUUGUGUUAUGCUCAAAAAAAUUAAAUAAAUAUAUUUUUGUAGACAAUUCCAUGAUGGAAGUUGAAGCUACUAUUCCUGCUGUUCCUAUUACAUCUGAAGCGGUUUCAGAAUCUACUUCACCAGAUGUAAUUGCUAUUCCAUCAACAUCCAAGGAAGUUACAUCUGAAGCUGUUUCGGAAUCUACUUCACCAGAUGUAAUCGCUAUUCCAUCAACAUCCAAGGAAGUUACAUCUGAAGGUCAGUAAAAUAUUUUAUAAACACAAGGCUGAAUACAGGGUGGCGCACCUCAUUCAUCUUGGUUGAUUAUACGAAAACGUAAAGAUAUAGAAACAAAAUAUUUUAUGGGUAUAUGUGGAAAGACAAUGUACUUAAUUUAAAAUUAUUUUAAAAUGUACAGGGUGUGUCAGGACUAAGAUCCAUACCAAAGUUAUAUUUUUUCUUAUGGAACACACGGUAUUUUAUUUCACUUUGGGAUUCUUGGACAUAAAAUAAGGUAUUUAUUAUAAGGGUUUAAUAUGUUUAAAAGGUUUGGUUUUUGAGAUAUUUAAAUACAUUUAAAUAUGCAUGUUAUAAUAACAAAGUUU
Molecule: long non-coding RNA, 892 nt
Filed under: Sitophilus oryzae (rice weevil)
Lineage: Eukaryota; Metazoa; Arthropoda; Insecta; Coleoptera; Curculionidae
Description: uncharacterized LOC115888903, transcript variant X2
Source: RNAcentral